GAUGAACGCUGGCGGCGUGCCUAAUACAUGCAAGUCGAGCGAACAGACGAGGAGCUUGCUCCUCUGACGUUAGCGGCGGACGGGUGAGUAACACGUGGAUAACCUACCUAUAAGACUGGGAUAACUUCGGGAAACCGGAGCUAAUACCGGAUAAUAUAUUGAACCGCAUGGUGCAAUAGUGAAAGACGGUUUUGCGGUCACUUAUAGAUGGAUCCGCGCCGCAUUAGCUAGUUGGUAAGGUAACGGCUUACCAAGGCAACGAUGCGUAGCCGACCUGAGAGGGUGAUCGGCCACACCGGAACUGAGACACGGUCCAGACUCCUACGGGAGGCAGCAGUAGGGAAUCUUCCGCAAUGGGCGAAAGCUUGACGGAGCAACGCCGCGUGAGUGAUGAAGGUCUUCGGAUCGUAAAACUCUGUUAUUAGGGAAGAACAAAUGUGUAAGUAACUAUGCACGUCUUGACAGUACCUAAUCAGAAAGCCACGGCUAACUACGUG
This 497-nucleotide ribosomal RNA is filed under the name uncultured bacterium. RNAcentral's name for it is "partial 16S ribosomal RNA". It matches the Rfam family "Bacterial small subunit ribosomal RNA", at positions 28 to 507 of the family's 1533-position model. The record is from RNAcentral.